Molecule: ribosomal RNA, 1556 nt
Filed under: uncultured Parabasalia sp.
Lineage: Eukaryota; Parabasalia
Description: SSU rRNA
Rfam family: Eukaryotic small subunit ribosomal RNA
Source: RNAcentral
UGAGGAUCCAGGUUGAUUCUGCCAAGGAAGCACACUAAGGCCAUAGAUUAAGCCAUGCAAGUGUUAGUUCAGGCAACGAAACUGCGAACAGCUCAUUAAUACGCUCAGAACCUAUUUGGUUUCGACCCCUCGGGGUACUAAAGGGACAGCAGAGGUAAUUCCUGUGCUAAUACCUGCAAAUUAUCCACCUUAAGUGAGUUAAGGUGAGGACUUGACCGUUAGGCAUACCAUUCGGUUGGGCGCCCUAUCAGCUUGUCCGCAGUAUCUUUUACUGUGGAGGCAAUCACGGGUAACGGGCGGUUAUCGUCGGACUGCCGGAGAAGGCGCCUGAGAGACAGCGGCUAUUCCCAUGGGAAGCAGCAGGCGCGAAACUUACCCACUCUUCAACGAAGGAGGUGGUAAUGGCCAGUUCCAUCUUGUCGAUAAGACGGGCGGAUAGGCUCACACUUUUCCAGUGUGGGGUAACCUAGGAGAGGGCCAGUUCUGGUGCCAGCAGCUGCGGUAAUUCCAGCUCUCCGAGUUUGCUCCCAAUGUUACGUUUGAAACGCCCGUAGUUUGAGGUUCAAGCUCGAAUAGAGCGUUCACCGUGACCAAAUCAGGAUGCUUAAAGUAGUUCAAAACUGAAUGACUCAGCACGGUAUGAGAUUUUUACCCCUUCGGGGGUCAGAUCAAAGAGAGCUAUCGGGGGUAGAUCUAUUUCAUGGCGAGCGGCGGAAUGUGUUGACCCAUGAGAGAGAAACGAAUGCGAAAGCAUCUACCUAGAGAGUUUCUGUCGAUCAAGGGCGAGAGCCGCAGGAUCCAACCGGAUUAGAGACCCGGGUAGUUGCGGCCUUAAACUAUGGUGACGGGGCCUCAUCCGCGGGUGGGGUCCUAAGCGAAAGCUGGAGUGGUUGACCUACGGGGGAACUACGAUCGCAAGGUUGAAACUUGAAGGAAUUGACGGAAGAGCACACCAGGGGUGGAUACUGUGGCUCAAUCUGACUCAACGCGGAGAAACUUACCAGGACCAGAUAUUUUUAAUGACUGACCAGCUAAAGACUGUUCAGGAUAUGAUUUUUGGUGGUGCAUGGCCGUUGGUGGUGCGUGGAUUGAUCUGUCAUACGUCGAUUCAGAUAACGAGCGAGACUACCACCGAUUAACUAGACGCCUUCUCUGACGAGGGGGUUGCCUUCUAAUUGGGACUCCCUGCGUUUAAGCAGGCGGAAGAGGGUAGCAAUAACAGGUCCGUGAUGUCCUUUAGAUGCUCUGGGCUGCACGCGUUCUACAAUGCUAGAAUCACAGGGAUGCUAACCUGAGAGGGUUUGCUACUCCUUUAAUCUCUAGCGUAGUUGGGAUUGACGAUUGUAAUCAUCGUCAUGAACCAGGAAUCCCUUGUAAACGCGUGUCAACAUCGCGCGUUGAAUACGUCCCUGCUCUUUGUACACACCGCCCGUCGCUCCUACCGAUUGAGUGGACCGGUGAAAUCAUUGGACGGCUUCGGUCGGAAGGUGAUUAAGCCUGUACACUUAGAGGAAGGAGAAGUCGUAACAAGGUAGCUGUAGGUGAACCUGCAGCAG